ACCUGAAUUUGAAAGUGAUUGUGGGCUGCCUGUGCCCUGAUCAUUGACAGUGCAGGAGAGGAACUGCUGAAAGCAUUUCCCCAUGUUUGGAGGGCCCACCUCUGUCACCUCCAAAAUCUGGAGCUUUUGUACA
Molossus molossus (Pallas's mastiff bat) is the source of this 133-nucleotide small nucleolar RNA. RefSeq annotates it as small nucleolar RNA SNORA71. The transcript has a single exon. The record is from RefSeq and is a predicted model, not a curated record. Lineage: Eukaryota; Metazoa; Chordata; Mammalia; Chiroptera; Molossidae.